Molecule: unclassified non-coding RNA, 21 nt
Filed under: Chlamydomonas reinhardtii
Lineage: Eukaryota; Viridiplantae; Chlorophyta; Chlorophyceae; Chlamydomonadales; Chlamydomonadaceae
Description: small RNA Cre_2373
Source: RNAcentral
UAUCGGAAAGAAUUCGAGCUG